RNAcentral lists this unclassified non-coding RNA (314 nucleotides) under soil metagenome. RNAcentral's name for it is "partial contains small subunit ribosomal RNA, internal transcribed spacer 1, and 5.8S ribosomal RNA". The record is from RNAcentral.
UUUCCGUAGGUGAACCUGCGGAAGGAUCAUUAACACUAAUUUUACAAAUACAUUGUAGUUCCAUUUUUUGAGAUUUAUCUCGAUUUUGGACCUCGUGUAUUUCCCAAAAACUUACCCAAACUUUUUUGAAAGUGCUGGUUGAUUUGAUGUCUUUUUGCUCUGUGAGCAAAAAGAAGAUCAGAUCACUUUUUCCAUUUCUUUUUACAAAAAACAACCCCAAAUCUUUCUUUGCGAAUGCAAAUGACAAUUACUAAAAACAAAAUAACUACUUUAACGUAACCAAACAACUCUUAGCAACGGAUAUCUUGGCUCUC